GUUGUUUUUGUUUCAGCCCGCCGGUUGUUUUUCGCGGAUGCGACACUUAGUAAUGGGCAUUGUUGGGCUUUUAGCAUGGAAAGCCCAAAUUGAUGUAUUGCUUGCAAUUAGAAGGGGGUGCAACAUGCUUUAGGGCGUGUGACAAGGUGGGCCAUGCCCAAACUCAGCAAGCAAAGGGGAAGGAGUUCAAAAACUCUCCUCAUUUCCAUUUUCCCCUCUGAAUACCUUAUCCCUUCUCUAAUUCGCCUACGCCAAAAAUCGC
RNAcentral lists this long non-coding RNA (262 nucleotides) under Lathyrus oleraceus (garden pea). RNAcentral's name for it is "Pisum sativum (pea) long non-coding RNA (PSAT_LNC010216)". Lineage: Eukaryota; Viridiplantae; Streptophyta; Magnoliopsida; Fabales; Fabaceae. The record is from RNAcentral.